UACAGAGGGUGCAAGCGUUGUUCGGAAUUAUUGGGCGUAAAGGGCGCGUAGGCGGCUUAACAAGUCACUUGUGAAAUCUCCGGGCUUAACUCGGAACGGCCAAGUGAAACUGUCAAGCUAGAGUGCAGAAGGGGCAAUCGGAAUUCUUGGUGUAGCGGUGAAAUGCGUAGAUAUCAAGAGGAACACCUGAGGUGAAGACGGGUUGCUGGGCUGACACUGACGCUGAGGCGCGAAAGCCAGGGGAGCAAACGGG
Molecule: ribosomal RNA, 253 nt
Filed under: uncultured bacterium
Lineage: Bacteria
Description: partial 16S ribosomal RNA
Rfam family: Bacterial small subunit ribosomal RNA
Source: RNAcentral